This 253-nucleotide ribosomal RNA is filed under the name uncultured bacterium. RNAcentral's name for it is "partial 16S ribosomal RNA". It matches the Rfam family "Bacterial small subunit ribosomal RNA", at positions 524 to 776 of the family's 1533-position model. The record is from RNAcentral.
UACGUAGGGUGCGAGCGUUAAUCGGGAUUACUGGGCGUAAAGCGUGCGCAGGCGGUUUUCCAAGACAGAUGUGAAAUCCCCGGGCUCAACCUGGGAAUGGCAUUUGUGACUGGAAGGCUAGAGUGUGUCAGAGGGGGGUAGAAUUCCACGUGUAGCAGUGAAAUGCGUAGAGAUGUGGAGGAAUACCGAUGGCGAAGGCAGCCCCCUGGGAUAACACUGACGCUCAUGCACGAAAGCGUGGGGAGCAAACAGG